UACGGAGGGUGCGAGCGUUGUCCGGAAUCACUGGGCGUAAAGGGCGCGUAGGCGGCGCGGGCAGUCAACGGUGAAAGCUCGGGGCUCAACUCCGAGUCGGCCGUCGAUACUCCCGUGCUCGAGCACUGUAGAGGGAGGUGGAAUUCCGGGUGUAGCGGUGGAAUGCGUAGAGAUCCGGAAGAACACCAGUGGCGAAGGCGGCCUGCUGGGCAGUAGCUGACGCUGAGGCGCGACAGCGUGGGGAGCAAACAGG
RNAcentral lists this ribosomal RNA (253 nucleotides) under uncultured bacterium. RNAcentral describes it as "partial 16S ribosomal RNA". It matches the Rfam family "Bacterial small subunit ribosomal RNA", at positions 524 to 776 of the family's 1533-position model. The record is from RNAcentral.